UACGAAGGGGGCUAGCGUUGUUCGGAUUUACUGGGCGUAAAGCGCACGUAGGCGGAUCGUUAAGUCGGGGGUGAAAUCCUGGAGCUCAACUCCAGAACUGCCUUCGAUACUGGCGAUCUUGAGUCCGGAAGAGGUGAGUGGAACUCCUAGUGUAGAGGUGGAAUUCGUAGAUAUUAGGAAGAACACCCGUGGCGAAGGCGGCUUUCUGGGACGGUACUGACGCUGAGACGCGAAAGCGUGGGGAGCGAACAGG
RNAcentral lists this ribosomal RNA (253 nucleotides) under uncultured bacterium. RNAcentral describes it as "partial 16S ribosomal RNA". It matches the Rfam family "Bacterial small subunit ribosomal RNA", at positions 524 to 776 of the family's 1533-position model. The record is from RNAcentral.